Molecule: unclassified non-coding RNA, 260 nt
Filed under: Hevea brasiliensis (rubber tree)
Lineage: Eukaryota; Viridiplantae; Streptophyta; Magnoliopsida; Malpighiales; Euphorbiaceae
Source: RNAcentral
AGAGAGUUGAGUUCAUCAAUGGAACUGGACUUGAGGAAAGAGAGUAGCUGAUUCUGAGUAGGUCCAUUAGAGCCAGCAGCAAUAAGGCCAAGAACUAUUUGAAUUGAAAGAGGAGAGAGCACCAGGUUGGUAUCGCCUUUAACCGCGUUGGAGAAAACAUGCUUAGCAAGCAUGAAAGAAACAUCAGUCUGGCUGGUGAUUGACUCUCGAAGAUCCAUAUUUGCACGCGAAAACGAAGAAGAAGAAGGAGGAUAGUGAGU